RNAcentral lists this ribosomal RNA (497 nucleotides) under uncultured bacterium. RNAcentral's name for it is "partial 16S ribosomal RNA". It matches the Rfam family "Bacterial small subunit ribosomal RNA", at positions 28 to 507 of the family's 1533-position model. The record is from RNAcentral.
GACGAACGCUGGCGGCGUGCCUAAUACAUGCAAGUUGAGCGCUGAAGGUUGGUACUUGUACCAACUGGAUGAGCAGCGAACGGGUGAGUAACGCGUGGGGAAUCUGCCUUUGAGCGGGGGACAACAUUUGGAAACGAAUGCUAAUACCGCAUAAAAACUUUAAACACAAGUUUUAAGUUUGAAAGAUGCAAUUGCAUCACUCAAAGAUGAUCCCGCGUUGUAUUAGCUAGUUGGUGAGGUAAAGGCUCACCAAGGCGAUGAUACAUAGCCGACCUGAGAGGGUGGUCGGCCACAUUGGGACUGAGACAAGGCCCAAACUCCUACGGGAGGGAGCAGUAGGGAAUCUUCGGCAAUGGACGAAAGUCUGACCGAGCAACGCCGCGGGAGUGAAGAAGGUUUUCGGAUCGUAAAACUCUGUUGGUAGAGAAGAACGUUGGUGAGAGUGGAAAGCUCAUCAAGUGACGGUAACUACCCAGAAAGGGACGGCUAACUACGUG